RNAcentral lists this ribosomal RNA (409 nucleotides) under uncultured bacterium. RNAcentral describes it as "bacterial SSU rRNA". It matches the Rfam family "Bacterial small subunit ribosomal RNA", at positions 355 to 776 of the family's 1533-position model. The record is from RNAcentral.
CAGGGAAUCUUGCGCAAUGGGCGAAAGCCUGACGCAGUGACGCCGCGUGAGGGAUGAAUGCCUUCGGGUUGUAAACCUCUUUCAGGAGGGACGAAGCGAAAGUGACGGUACCUCCAGAAGAAGCCCCGGCCAACUACGUGCCAGCAGCCGCGGUAAUACGUAGGGGGCAAGCGUUGUCCGGAUUUAUUGGGCGUAAAGAGCUCGUAGGCGGUUGUGCAAGUCGGAUGUGAAAGCCCGAGGCUCAACUUCGGGAUGCCAUUCGAUACUGCAUGACUAGAGGCAGGUAGGGGAAAGUGGAAUACCUGGUGUAGCGGUGAAAUGCGCAGAUAUCAGGUGGAACACCGGUGGCGAAGGCGGCUUUCUGGGCCUGUCCUGACGCUGAGGAGCGAAAGCUAGGGGAGCAAACAGG